RNAcentral lists this ribosomal RNA (1381 nucleotides) under Lacticaseibacillus rhamnosus. RNAcentral describes it as "Lactobacillus rhamnosus 16S ribosomal RNA". It matches the Rfam family "Bacterial small subunit ribosomal RNA", at positions 91 to 1455 of the family's 1533-position model. Lineage: Bacteria; Bacillati; Bacillota; Bacilli; Lactobacillales; Lactobacillaceae. The record is from RNAcentral.
ACGAGUGGCGGACGGGUGAGUAACACGUGGGUAACCUGCCCUUAAGUGGGGGAUAACAUUUGGAAACAGAUGCUAAUACCGCAUAAAUCCAAGAACCGCAUGGUUCUUGGCUGAAAGAUGGCGUAAGCUAUCGCUUUUGGAUGGACCCGCGGCGUAUUAGCUAGUUGGUGAGGUAACGGCUCACCAAGGCAAUGAUACGUAGCCGAACUGAGAGGUUGAUCGGCCACAUUGGGACUGAGACACGGCCCAAACUCCUACGGGAGGCAGCAGUAGGGAAUCUUCCACAAUGGACGCAAGUCUGAUGGAGCAACGCCGCGUGAGUGAAGAAGGCUUUCGGGUCGUAAAACUCUGUUGUUGGAGAAGAAUGGUCGGCAGAGUAACUGUUGUCGGCGUGACGGUAUCCAACCAGAAAGCCACGGCUAACUACGUGCCAGCAGCCGCGGUAAUACGUAGGUGGCAAGCGUUAUCCGGAUUUAUUGGGCGUAAAGCGAGCGCAGGCGGUUUUUUAAGUCUGAUGUGAAAGCCCUCGGCUUAACCGAGGAAGUGCAUCGGAAACUGGGAAACUUGAGUGCAGAAGAGGACAGUGGAACUCCAUGUGUAGCGGUGAAAUGCGUAGAUAUAUGGAAGAACACCAGUGGCGAAGGCGGCUGUCUGGUCUGUAACUGACGCUGAGGCUCGAAAGCAUGGGUAGCGAACAGGAUUAGAUACCCUGGUAGUCCAUGCCGUAAACGAUGAAUGCUAGGUGUUGGAGGGUUUCCGCCCUUCAGUGCCGCAGCUAACGCAUUAAGCAUUCCGCCUGGGGGAGUACGACCGCAAGGUUGAAACUCAAAGGAAUUGACGGGGGCCCGCACAAGCGGUGGAGCAUGUGGUUUAAUUCGAAGCAACGCGAAGAACCUUACCAGGUCUUGACAUCUUUUGAUCACCUGAGAGAUCAGGUUUCCCCUUCGGGGGCAAAAUGACAGGUGGUGCAUGGUUGUCGUCAGCUCGUGUCGUGAGAUGUUGGGUUAAGUCCCGCAACGAGCGCAACCCUUAUGACUAGUUGCCAGCAUUUAGUUGGGCACUCUAGUAAGACUGCCGGUGACAAACCGGAGGAAGGUGGGGAUGACGUCAAAUCAUCAUGCCCCUUAUGACCUGGGCUACACACGUGCUACAAUGGAUGGUACAACGAGUUGCGAGACCGCGAGGUCAAGCUAAUCUCUUAAAGCCAUUCUCAGUUCGGACUGUAGGCUGCAACUCGCCUACACGAAGUCGGAAUCGCUAGUAAUCGCGGAUCAGCACGCCGCGGUGAAUACGUUCCCGGGCCUUGUACACACCGCCCGUCACACCAUGAGAGUUUGUAACACCCGAAGCCGGUGGCGUAACCCUUUUAGGGAGCGAGCCG